Molecule: ribosomal RNA, 479 nt
Filed under: uncultured bacterium
Lineage: Bacteria
Description: SSU rRNA
Rfam family: Bacterial small subunit ribosomal RNA
Source: RNAcentral
GGGACGAACGCUGGCGGCGUGCUUAACACAUGCAAGUCGAACGAUGAAGCCUUCGGGUGGAUUAGUGGCGAACGGGUGAGUAACACGUGGGUGAUCUGCCUCGUACUUCGGGAUAAGCUUGGGAAACUGGGUCUAAUACCGGAUAUGACCUCAUGCUUCAUGGUGUGUGGUGGAAAGAUUUAUCGGUACGAGAUGAGCCCGCGGCCUAUCAGCUUGUUGGUGGGGUAAUGGCCCACCAAGGCGACGACGGGUAGCCGGCCUGAGAGGGUGAUCGGCCACACUGGGACUGAGACACGGCCCAGACUCCUACGGGAGGCAGCAGUGGGGGAAUAUUGCACAAUGGGCGGAAGUCUGACGCAGCGACGCCGCGUGCGGGAUGAAGGCCUUCGGGUUGUAAACCGCUUUCACCAGGGGCGAAGCGAGAGUGACGGUACCUGGGGAAGAAGCGCCGGCUAACUACGUGCCAGCAGCCGCGGUAA